Molecule: RNA transcript, 1277 nt
Organism: Diachasma alloeum
Lineage: Eukaryota; Metazoa; Arthropoda; Insecta; Hymenoptera; Braconidae
Gene name: L-galactose dehydrogenase
Exons: 8
Source: RefSeq, a predicted model, not a curated record
CACUGCGGUUGCAGGCGAGACGCGAGAGGCAGCUGAGCGGGCAGUUCCGUUCGCCGAGUCCAAUAGCGAGGACAUGAUUUUUUUUAGUUGUCGUUUUUUUUUCUUUGUUUGAAAGUGAAGGCUGCGGAGAGAUAAUGUCUAGCUUACCAGCGACAUAUGUCGAGGGUUUCCACGACCUGGAGGCUGUCAGAGCAAUGGAGUACAGGCCUCUGGGGAAGACUGGCCUGAUGGUCAGUAAAUUAUCAUUUGGGGGAGCUCCUCUUGGUUGUCAUUACGGGACGUACGAUGAAGAGGAGGCUAUUGCUACCGUGCGUGAGGCCCUCCGCAAGGGAAUUAAUUAUAUCGACACAGCCCCCUGGUAUGGUCAAGGUCGAUCCGAAAGAACCAUUGGAAAAGCCCUUGAAGGGGUCCCCAGAGAGGCCUAUUACAUCGCGACAAAAGUCGGAAGAUAUGAAUUGAAUUUCGAACACAUGUUCGAUUUCACUGCCGAGAGAACACGGAGAAGUGUUCAAGAGAGCCUGAAACUCCUUCAGCUCGAUUAUGUCGAUGUUUUACAAGUUCACGAUGUAGAAUUCGCUCCAUCCCUGGACAUCAUCAUAACUCAAACACUGCCAGAGGUUUCGCGUCAGGUCCGCCAGGGAAGAGCCAGAUUCAUCGGAAUCACGGGAUAUCCAGUUUCUGUUUUGAAAGAGUGCAUUGAUAAGAGCAACAUUAAUAUAUCUGUGAUAUUAUCGUAUGCGAGGCAUACACUCAUUGAUGAUACUCUCCUGUCGUAUAUCCCAUUUUUCCAGGACCAUAAAAUAGGAAUAAUAAAUGCAUCGGCUCCCUGCAUGGGCCUCCUGACAAACGAAGGGCCCCCAGACUGGCACCCAGCGGGUGAAGAAACGAAAAACCAAUGUCGUCAGGCAGUUCAAUACUGCAACGAUCACGAUUUAAAACUGGCGAGAUUAGCUGUUUGGUACGCAAUGCAGAACCCCGACAUUGCGACUAAUCUCAUUGGAAUGCAGAACUUGGAACAGUUGCGAAUGAAUUUGGAUGUUGUGUACAAUGGCAUCACAGACGAGGAAAAAACAUCGCUGAACGAAAUUGUGGAGAGCGCACGAUAUCGAAGACUUAUUAAAUGUCUCUUCUAAACUUCCUGUUUGAAUAUCGCCCCCUUGUGCUACGAAAGCAAUGUUCAAAGCAGAUACUUAUCGAAGGUCAAAGGUUCCCACUGGGAGCAUAAAGAGAUUGAGGCGUACAAAGCAGCUUUAGGAAUGUAAAAAAUCUAUAUUUCG